This 466-nucleotide ribosomal RNA is filed under the name uncultured bacterium. RNAcentral describes it as "bacterial SSU rRNA". It matches the Rfam family "Bacterial small subunit ribosomal RNA", at positions 355 to 825 of the family's 1533-position model. The record is from RNAcentral.
UAGGGAAUAUUGGACAAUGGGUGAGAGCCUGAUCCAGCCAUGCCGCGUGCAGGAAGAAGGCCUUCUGGGUUGUAAACUGCUUUUGCCAGGGGAUAAAAUUUCCAUGCGUGGAGAAUUGAAGGUACCUGGUGAAUAAGCCACGGCUAACUACGUGCCAGCAGCCGCGGUAAUACGUAGGUGGCAAGCGUUGUCCGGAUUUAUUGGGUUUAAAGGGUGCGUAGGCGGUUCCAUAAGUCAGUGGUGAAAUACAAUAGCUUAACUAUUGAGGUGCCAUUGAUACUGCGGAACUUGAGUACAGAUGAGGUAGGCGGAAUUGACGGUGUAGCGGUGAAAUGCAUAGAUAUCGUCAAGAACACCGAUAGCGAAGGCAGCUUACCAAGCUGUAACUGACACUGAGGCACGAAAGUGUGGGGAUCAAACAGGAUUAGAUACCCUAGUAGUCCCUGAGCGGGCUGGCAAGGCGCAU